RNAcentral lists this small nuclear RNA (89 nucleotides) under Peromyscus maniculatus bairdii (prairie deer mouse). Lineage: Eukaryota; Metazoa; Chordata; Mammalia; Rodentia; Cricetidae. The record is from RNAcentral.
UUGCUUUGGCAGCACAUACACUAAAAUUGGAAUGGUGCAGAGAUUAGCAUGGCCUAUACACACAAAUUCACAAAGUGUUCCAUAUUUUU